UCCAGUGAACUUUGCCUGUGACCCCCUCGGUCACCUCCAUCCCCUUGCUCAGUGCCUGGAGGUGCCUACUUGAACUCGCCCUGGGGAAAGGCUGGGGGGUCCAGUCCCCACCCACCCGGGUGGCUCCGGGUGUGGACUUCCUCUCAUUAAGGAUCAACUCUGAUUUUUACAGUGGCGUGUUGCUCAAUUCCAGGUUCCCGGCAGGAAAGAGGACAGUGUCUCUGAUAUAGUGACGCCUUCCAGAGUUCACCCCUGCACAAGCCAAGAUGCUCUGGCCCCUGGACGAGUCCCAGAACCAGGACCGAGCUGACAUCUCACCAGAUUUAGUGGGCAGCCCACCCUUCUCGGCCAGAAGAUAGGACUCCCCGCCUCUUCAGGUGACCCGGCUGAGGACGGCAGAGGAGACGGAAGAGGCCUGACCUGAGACACCAAACCAGGCGCGCUCCCGAGGUCAAAAGCCCGAAGCCCCUCCUCCUCAGGUCGGAGGACGCGCCGGGCUCUGGCAAGACCCCAUGGAAUGCCGCUAGAGCCGAGACCGCCAAGUUCACACGCAGGGCUGGCGUUCCGCUCCCCUCCCGCCGCCCCAGCAGUGGCGACCGACUGGAGACGAACACCGGUGGAAAGAAGCAGCAGCAAAGGCGCCUGGUUCUCCCUCCAGCGCCGUCUGCACUGCUCAAGGUGGGCAGCGGGAUCUUGGCCUCCGGGCGCAGCCCCCUAAACUCUCACUAGUGCUGUUCGGUGGCGGCCAAGCGUCCAGCGCUCCCGGGGCCGGGCCAGACGCUCCCGGCCAUUGACCCUUGUGAGGCGCCCGCUCGCCCCAUUUCACAGCAAGACAGGUCGAGUCCAGGGCGCCGUGCGCGUACGCAGGACCGAGUCCGAAAGGUCCGGCCCCCAACGGAACCGCGCGGGAGCCUUUCCAGGCGCCCUCCAUUCGUGCGACCACGGGCAGCUCACCGCACCUGGCCUUCACCUCGGUCAUUAAACUUUUCUUAAACUGA
Diceros bicornis minor is the source of this 998-nucleotide long non-coding RNA. RefSeq lists it as uncharacterized. The record is from RefSeq and is a predicted model, not a curated record. Lineage: Eukaryota; Metazoa; Chordata; Mammalia; Perissodactyla; Rhinocerotidae. The transcript is spliced from 2 exons.